This 448-nucleotide ribosomal RNA is filed under the name Phoma sp. NO526. Its description in RNAcentral is "eukaryotic LSU rRNA". The stretch from base 116 to 269 matches the Rfam family "5.8S ribosomal RNA". The record is from RNAcentral. Lineage: Eukaryota; Fungi; Ascomycota; Dothideomycetes; Pleosporales; Didymellaceae.
CCUCUUACCCAUGUCUUUUGAGUACCUUCGUUUCCUCGGCGGGUCCGCCCGCCGAUUGGACAACAUUCAAACCCUUUGCAGUUGCAAUCAGCGUCUGAAAAAACAUAAUAGUUACAACUUUCAACAACGGAUCUCUUGGUUCUGGCAUCGAUGAAGACCGCAGCGAAAUGCGAUAAGUAGUGUGAAUUGCAGAAUUCAGUGAAUCAUCGAAUCUUUGAACGCACAUUGCGCCCCUUGGUAUUCCAUGGGGCAUGCCUGUUCGAGCGUCAUUUGUACCUUCAAGCUCUGCUUGGUGUUGGGUGUUUGUCUCGCCUCUGCGUGUAGACUCGCCUUAAAACAAUUGGCAGCCGGCGUAUUGAUUUCGGAGCGCAGUACAUCUCGCGCUUUGCACUCACAACGACGACGUCCAAAAGUACAUUUUUACACUCUUGACCUCGGAUCAGGUAGG